Molecule: ribosomal RNA, 433 nt
Filed under: uncultured bacterium
Lineage: Bacteria
Description: partial 16S ribosomal RNA
Rfam family: Bacterial small subunit ribosomal RNA
Source: RNAcentral
AACGAACGCUGGCGGCAUGCCUAACACAUGCAAGUCGAACGAGACCUUCGGGUCUAGUGGCGCACGGGUGCGUAACGCGUGGGAACCUGCCCUUAGGUUCGGAAUAACUCCCCGAAAGGGGUGCUAAUACCGGAUAAUGUCUUCGGACCAAAGAUUUAUCGCCUUUGGAUGGGCCCGCGUUGGAUUAGCUAGUUGGUAGGGUAAAAGCCUACCAAGGCGACGAUCCAUAGCUGGUCUGAGAGGAUGAUCAGCCACACUGGGACUGAGACACGGCCCAGACUCCUACGGGAGGCAGCAGUGGGGAAUAGUGGAAAAUGGGCGAAGGCCUGAUCCAGCUAUGCCGCGUGAGUGAUGAAGGCCUUAGGGUUGUAAAGCUCUUUUACCCGGGAUGAUAAUGACGGUACCGGGAGAAUAAGCUCCGGCUAACUCCGUG